CUUUUUAGGGCCACACCCACAGCAUGUGGAGGUUCCCAGGCUAGGGGUCUAAUCAGAGCUGUAGCUGAUGGCCUACACCACAGCCACAGCAGCAUGGCAUCCAACUUUCUGGGAGAAAGCUACAGGAGACAGUGGCUACAGAGCCCCAAGGUCUUUCAGACAUUCCCCUUCCUCGGAGAGGAGCUCAGCCUUCCUCCAAGUCACCUCCAGAGAGAGGUGAACAAAGAAGGAGGAGCCGCUACUUUUCUUAAGUGUGGCCUUGAGCCAGGCACUCAAUAUCCCAUAUCCCGUAAUCUCAGUGGAGCUCAAAAGAGCCUGAUAGGGAGUCCUCCCUUGGCACAGCAGGUUAAGAUCUGGCGUUGUCACUGCUCUGGCACAGGUUCAAUCCCUCGCCCGGGAACUUCCACAUGCCACAGGCGCAGCCGCCUCUGCCCCCCAAAAAAAGCCUGAUAAAAGAGGUGUAGUGUCAUCUCCUUGUGGAGGAGGAAACAGGCUCAGAGAGGUCAGUGACCAGCCCUAGGUCACACAGCUGCCAAUAACAGAGUAAGGACUCCUGGCUCUCACAUGAUUAUCAAGACUUUGGUUUACGUGGGCCCCUGUGAGCCCUCCUGGUGAAGUCCAAACGCAUCCUCAGAUGAAAGGCUCCCUGCAGAAUUAUCAACACAGGCAGCAGGGCAGACAGGGGAGGUCCCAUCCAGAGGCCACCCUGUGUGCCCAGGACAGCUAGGCCCUGUGUGGACAGCACCUGGCUGGACGAAUUACAGGCCCUCCUGGGGGCUGGGAAUUCGUGGAAGGAGGCAGAGUGGCGCAAAGUCAAAGCCACGAGGCACAUGGAAAAGGACCCCCACCUCCCCAGGCAAGGGGGGGGGUGGUGACAGGGGUGGGUAGGAGGGAGCAGAUGGCAGAGAAAAGGCCCACCCCUGGGGCGGGGGGAAUGUCCUAGAGGCCCACCUGGCUGCCUGGUGGUCACCAGAUUUCUCCUCCUCCACACCCCUCACAGUGUCACCCUCCACCCCCCCGCCCCCGCCCAGCAGCCCUCUGUUUUUGAGAACGGGCACUUCUCCCGGGUGCUGCACUUCUCACCCACUUUGUCCGAAUCUGCUUAAAGCAUAAAAGCCCCAGCCACCAGCAAGCCUUUCUAAGGACACUCAGGACUCUCUCUGGGUGAGAUUUUUACUUUUAAAGGGAAAAACUCCCUCUCUUAGCACAGGCUGUGUGUGCUGGGCGAGGGGGCAGCCAAGAGCAGCCUGGGACCUUCUCGAGUGUGGUCCAGGGGCCUGUUUGCCAACCCCAGGGCUGCGGAUCCUGGAAAGCAGGUACGAGGGAAAAUCAGGGCCGCCGCAGGUACGAAGAUGCAGAGGUGGGCCAGGCUCGGGACAACCUGGAGAUGCCCGUUCUACAGUUCAAAGACCACUGAUUUUGUCCCCACAGAAGAUCUGGUUGGGCCACCCCACCGACAUAUGCUCAGCAGAGGCAUAUUCACAGAGAAAAUGAAACUAGAAGCUCACUCGGAAGGCCUCUCAGCCGAGCAGCAGGGACAGGGUGCACGGAAGCCGUGGUGGCCAUUUGGGACAGAGGCCAAAACCGGAAACGUAGGGGUGAGCUCUGCUGUGGGGUCCGUGGCAGGCCUGGGGUGGGGUGGGGCCAACAUCCUCUGGGAGCUAAAAUGGGAGGUGAUGGAGGAAAAGGAUUUGAAGCCGGGCAAGAACCCAGGGCAGAGCAGAGUCUGAAUCGUCUCCAGAUGAUGGACCGAGGGGCCACCGUGGGUACUUCCAGAAUGAGGGAAUGCACAGGGGUGUGAUUGCAAAAGCCUAUCACAGGAGUCCCAACCUGCCAGCGCCUUCAAGGGGGGCUCUGGGGAGUGGGGAGGGAGCCAAAAUGGCACUUUCUCUCUGUGGUGGAUAGAGGGCCUCUCUCAGUCAAGAGAGCUUGUCACAGGGUCCAGGUCCCUGGCUGAGAGGUGACCAUGGUGAAUGGAGCCCGGGGACCAGAAACACUGCGCUAGGAGGCCCCACGAGGCUGAGGGAUGGUGGCCCCCUCAGGUCCACACUGACGCCAGCACUAGUCCAGGCAGCUGCUCCAGGGGGUUCCAAGAAGGGGACAGAGGGAAGCUGGCCAGGGUGCCGAGUCACCUCCCUCCAUCACCUCUAAACCUCACCGUCUCUCCCUGCCCCUUCUUAUAAUAAAUAACGACACCAAAGAACCAAUUCUGACCCACCUCCUAAUGCCCUGGCCAAGCCCACAGAGGGUACCUCGGCCAGCAAUGGCCAAUUACAGUCUGAGAAAGUCGGCCUCACUGACCGGCUCCAGGAAGGAAUUCAACUCAGCUCGCAAUUACUGAGUUCUGUCUGGGCCCGGGCCCCGGACAAGGGUAAAGCUACAAAACAGGCCACCCUUAGGAGUCUGAAGUUUGAAGGAUGAUGGUCAUUAUCAUGGUGACGGGGCAGAGGGCCAGGUGCCAGCAGGCCUACCUGCAAAUUAUGACUCCACCACCAUUCAGCUGUGUGACCUUGGGCAGAGCACUAGCCCUCUCUGAUCUCUGAUUGUCAUGAGUUGUGAAGUGGUGGCGAGGCAGAGGGGGGCAGGUAAUACUUGCCACAGAGGAUGCUGUAAGGAUCUUCGGCCCAAGACCUAAGUCAAUGGUUCUCAAAAUGUGCUCCCUGGACCAGCAGCACACAAACAUCACUUGGGAACUUAGUAGUAAUGCAGAUUCCUGGGUCCCACUGCAGACUGACUGGACCAGAGACUCUGAGUGAGACAUACAAGCCACAACCUGAGAGUACCCCAGGGAUAGGAAUUGCCAAGAGUCCUCUUCAAUCUCGAUGAAGAUGCAACCUUGCUAGGAUUUGCCUUUUGAAGGCAAAAUACUGGAGAGGAAAUACUGGACAGCGGGUAUUAAGGAGAAGGUGUUCUGUGCAACCUCCUGCCACCAGAAAACCCCGGGUCCCCCAUCCCGGGGGGCGGGAGUCUCCCCCGCGGGUGCUGGCCUGAUUCCACAGGGCAGACCACUGGGGCCCAGGUGCCUCCUCCCCCACCCCUCCCUCUUGACAGUUUCUUGUCGCCGCCCCCCUCCCAGCCCCUCUGCCCACCCACCCUGCCCCUUUGGGGGACACCAGCAUUCCCUGCGCCCUCCCUCCCAUCUUGUGGCCUGACUGGCUCUGCCGAUUCACCCUUCGUGAGUGUCAUCCGCAGAGCCUGGCACGGUCCCCCAAGGGGUUGGGCCAGAAGCCAUUAGCAGCAAUCACUGCCAUCAACAGCCAAGAAUGGACAAGUCCUUCUCAUCAGCAUCACCAUGACCCUCAACCCUGCAGAGGGGCCCGGUGACCCCUUUCACAGAUGACUGAACGGAGGCUCAGAAGGGAAGGAACAUGCCCAGCGUCACACAGGGUCACACAGCCAGCAAGAGGGAGGCCUGGAAUUUGAACGCCUGCCUGUCUAGCUCUGAGAGGGAGAGAAUUGGCCAGUGUACCUUCUUGAACUAGAAAGUCUAACACUGACGGUUUUCUGCCUGUUCUAUAUUAGUUCACUCCUGCCCAGACCUGCAGGACAAGUCCGCUAACCCCAACAGCCUCUGGACACUGGACUGGCAGAGUGCCUGGUGACUGGGGGAGGGAUACCCCUCGCUCCCCGCCACGGGCCGCCCCUGGGAUCCUCAGGGCUCCUGAGUGAGCCUUGACUUCCCUCAGUGCUCAGGAUGGCACGGGGUCAGUUCCUUUGUUCAAGGAGAGGCUGAGCCCAGGGCUGAAGCUCUGGGGACAUCGGGUUCAGGAGAGCUUUCGGUCCCUUUCCCAGCCCCUCACUGAGCCAGUGGCCUGGGUGGCCCCUCUGUCUGUGGCAUCUUGCAGAGGACUGAACCCCACAGGAGGCUCCUGGGGCAUGUGGCUUGCCCUCCACUGCAGUCCCCUCACAGGCCAAGAACAGAGCCAGGCUGGGGACACACCUCCUCGUGUGCUGACUCCACCAAGGGCUGCCAUGGUGGCAGCUCAGUGUCAUAAAGGAAGUGAAUGUGGCUUUAGAGUGGUGGGGGAGGGGCUUCAGGUGCACCUGCUGUCCUCUGGGUCCUCUCUGGCCUCCAGUUAGGUGUCCCAUCCUGCUGUCUCUGCCUACCUGGCCUUUGAGGGACCCCAGCACCCACUGCUGCUAACCUGGGUUCUGCCACUGCUCCAGUUCCCAGGUCACUGUCCACAGUCUAUCUCGCCUCUACGCCUCAGCAUCUCUGUCCCUCGGGAGACAACCAAGCUGCCACACCUUCUGUAAGAGACACGCUGGUCUCACGUGUGCACACCAAGGGCACGACCUCGGGUUCCCCUGCUUGGACACCCCUGGGUUCCCUCAGAGCUCAUGUGUCACUCUGCAACACCGCGGCCACAUCCUCAUGCUCAUCUUACAGCCGAACCUCUCCCCGCCAAGGCAGAACCCUCUCUCUUUGUCUUCCUGUCUUCUGGGAGCUUCCCUGCCAUCCUAUCCUGAAUUCUUUAUUUAUGGCUUAGAGUAAAACUCUGUGAUCAAAGUCGGAGAUACUGACUUCAUGUUUAGAGGGAAGCUUUGGAAUUUAGAAACCCUUUUUAAUCUCUUAACAAAGCCCAGCUUUCAAGACUAUUAUUUUGCCAAAAACGGAACACAAAAUAAAAAGUCGAACUUGACUGUCAAAGCUGAGCAAUGAAUUUAUUACUCCAGCAGAAACCUACCCAUUCCCUGAGGCACUUAAACCCGUUGAUUCAAUGGAUGUCACAGAGCAUCAGAUUUAAGGGCAAUUAAAAGUACAUCCAUUUUAUUUCUUAGAAUU
This 4786-nucleotide long non-coding RNA is filed under the name Sus scrofa (pig). RNAcentral describes it as "lncRNA (ENSSSCG00035068147.1)". The record is from RNAcentral. Lineage: Eukaryota; Metazoa; Chordata; Mammalia; Artiodactyla; Suidae.